This 830-nucleotide ribosomal RNA is filed under the name uncultured Pseudomonadota bacterium. RNAcentral's name for it is "bacterial SSU rRNA". It matches the Rfam family "Bacterial small subunit ribosomal RNA", at positions 40 to 886 of the family's 1533-position model. Lineage: Bacteria; Pseudomonadati; Pseudomonadota. The record is from RNAcentral.
CGGCAUGCCUAACACAUGCAAGUCGAACGAGAAAGUUCCUUCGGGAGCGAUUAAAGUGGCGCACGGGUGAGUAACGCGUAGACAAUCUGCCCUUCAGUCUGGGACAACUUUUCGAAAGGAGAGCUAAUACCGGAUGACAAUGUAACACAUAAGUGUCACAUUUGAAAGCUCCGGCGCUGAAGGAGGGGUCUGCGUCCCAUUAGCUAGUUGGUAAGGUAAAGGCUUACCAAGGCGACGAUGGGUAGCGGGUUUGAGAGGACGAUCCGCCACACUGGAACUGAGACACGGUCCAGACUCCUACGGGAGGCAGCAGUGGGGAAUAUUGCACAAUGGAGGCAACUCUGAUGCAGCAAUGUCGCGUGAGUGAAGAAGGCCCUUGGGUCGUAAAGCUCUUUUAUGGGGGAAGAUGAUGACGGUACCCCAAGAAUAAGCACCGGCUAACUACGUGCCAGCAGCCGCGGUAAUACGUAGGGUGCGAGCGUUGUUCGGAAUUACUGGGCGUAAAGGGCGCGCAGGCGGAAUAGUAAGUCGGAGGUGAAAGCCCGGGGCUCAACCCCGGAGGGUCUUUCGAAACUGCUAAUCUAGAGAGGGUCAGGGGCCAGCAGAAUUCUUGGUGUAGAGGUGAAAUUCGUAGAUAUCAAGAGGAAUACCGGUGGCGAAAGCGGCUGGCUGGGGCCACUCUGACGCUGAGGCGCGAAAGCGUGGGGAGCAAACAGGAUUAGAUACCCUGGUAGUCCACGCCGUAAACGAUGAGCACUGGAUGUCCGGAGGGUUCGACCCUUCUGGGUGUCUCAGCUAACGCAUUAAGUGCUCCGCCUGGGGAGUACGGU